RNAcentral lists this ribosomal RNA (596 nucleotides) under uncultured bacterium. RNAcentral describes it as "bacterial SSU rRNA". It matches the Rfam family "Bacterial small subunit ribosomal RNA", at positions 163 to 774 of the family's 1533-position model. The record is from RNAcentral.
GUAAUACCAGAUGACAUAACCUGUAUGGCAUCCACGGGUCCUCAAAGGUCCGCCGGUCCGGGAGCAGGCGAUUUCGUAUCAGCUAGUUGGUGAGGUAACGGCCCACCAAUGCGACGACGCGUAGCCGGACUGAGAGUGUUGCCCGGCCACAUCGGGACUGAGACACUGCCCGGACUCCUACGGGGGGCUGCAGUAACGAAUCUUCCCCAAUGCACGCAAGUGUGAGGGAGCGACGCCGCGUGUGGGACGAAGUCCUUCGGGAUGUAAACCACUGUCAGGGGAUACCAAGUUCUGAGGAGCCCCAGAGGGAAGAGGCGGCUAACUCUGUGCCAGCAGCCGCGGUAAGACAGAGGCCCCAAGCGUUAGGCGGAAUCACUGGGCUUAAAGCGUGUGUAGGCGGACCCCUAAGUGUCUUGUGAAAUCCCACGGCUCACCCGUGGAACUGCUGGGCAUACUGGCCAUCUUGGGCCAACUAGGGGCAGCCGGAACAAGCGGUGGAGCGGUGAAAUGCGUAGAUAUCGCUUGGAACGCCGAAGGUGAAAACAGGCUGCUGGGGUUGCGCCGACGCUGAGACACGAAAGCCAGGGGAGCAAACG